Molecule: long non-coding RNA, 237 nt
Filed under: Physcomitrium patens
Lineage: Eukaryota; Viridiplantae; Streptophyta; Bryopsida; Funariales; Funariaceae
Description: long non-coding RNA (PPAT_LNC014977)
Source: RNAcentral
AUUGUGGCUGGGCAUCCUCGUUUUUCUGAACAAAUAUGCUCCUACUCUUGACAGUGCAUCGAUUUUGCUUCUUGGGACAGUUUCCAACUUUGUGGCCUUCUUCACCGCAAUAUAAGCAUAGACCUUCUUCCAUACACUGCUUUUUUUCUUCUAGAGUAAGGAAUUUGAUACGUACCACAUCAAUUUGCAUGUCUUCUACCUCUGAAUGUGAAUUCAUGCUGCUUGUUGACAUAGUUG